This 433-nucleotide ribosomal RNA is filed under the name uncultured bacterium. RNAcentral describes it as "partial 16S ribosomal RNA". It matches the Rfam family "Bacterial small subunit ribosomal RNA", at positions 29 to 507 of the family's 1533-position model. The record is from RNAcentral.
AACGAACGCUGGCGGCAUGCCUAACACAUGCAAGUCGAACGAGACCUUCGGGUCUAGUGGCGCACGGGUGCGUAACGCGUGGGAACCUGCCUUUAGGUUCGGAAUAACUCAGAGAAAUUUGAGCUAAUACCGGAUGAUGUCUUCGGACCAAAGAUUUAUCGCCUUUAGAUGGGCCCGGGUUGGAUUAGCUAGUUGGUGGGGUAAAGGCCUACCAAGGCGACGAUCCAUAGCUGGUCUGAGAGGAUGAUCAGCCACACUGGGACUGAGACACGGCCCAGACUCCUACGGGAAGCAGGAGUGGGGAAUAUUGGACAAUGGGGGAAAGCGUGGUCCAGCAAUGCCGCGUGAGUGAUGAAGGCCUUAGGGUUGUAAAGCUCUUUUACCCGAGAUGAUAAUGACAGUAUCGGGAGAAUAAGCUCCGGCUAACUCCGUG